GGGCAAUUAGCUCAGCUUGGUAGAGCGGUACAUGUAGUUAGUAUUGGUAAUUUGUCAUGGUAUUGUUUAAAGGUUUCAUGUACAGGUCGCGGCGUUCAAAUCCCGCAUUGUCCA
RNAcentral lists this transfer RNA (114 nucleotides) under Bacteroides uniformis. RNAcentral describes it as "tRNA-OTHER". It matches the Rfam family "tRNA". From Rfam's summary of the family: Transfer RNA (tRNA) molecules are approximately 80 nucleotides in length. Their secondary structure includes four short double-helical elements and three loops (D, anti-codon, and T loops). Further hydrogen bonds mediate the characteristic L-shaped molecular structure. tRNAs have two regions of fundamental functional importance: the anti-codon, which is responsible for specific mRNA codon recognition, and the 3' end, to which the tRNAs corresponding amino acid is attached (by aminoacyl-tRNA synthetases). tRNAs cope with the degeneracy of the genetic code in two manners: having more than one tRNA (with a specific anti-codon) for a particular amino acid; and 'wobble' base-pairing, i.e. permitting non-standard base-pairing at the 3rd anti-codon position. Lineage: Bacteria; Pseudomonadati; Bacteroidota; Bacteroidia; Bacteroidales; Bacteroidaceae. RNAcentral also lists the same sequence under 3 other names. The record is from RNAcentral.